Molecule: ribosomal RNA, 468 nt
Filed under: uncultured bacterium
Lineage: Bacteria
Description: partial 16S ribosomal RNA
Rfam family: Bacterial small subunit ribosomal RNA
Source: RNAcentral
GACGAACGCUGGCGGCGGGCUUAACACAUGCAAGUCGAACGGAAAGGCACUGCGUUUUUGGGGUUCUCGAGUGGCGAAGGGGUGAGUAACACGAGAGUAACCGGACCUUGACUUUGGUAUAACUUCAGGUAACUGAAGCUAAGACCGUAUAGCAGCUCCUCCGCCAUUGUGAGGGGUGGAAAGUUUCGGCGGUUGCGGUUGGACUCGCGGCUUAUCAGCUUGCUGGUUGGGUAGUUGCAUGCCAAGCAUGUGACGGGUAGGCCGCACGAGAGGGUGAACGGCGACCAUGGGACUGCGAUACGCACCAGACUCGUAUGGGAGGCAACAGUCGGGAAUAUUAUCCAAUCAUCGCAAGUCUGAUGCAGCAACGUCGCGUGCGGGAUGACGGUCUUCGGGUUGUAAAACGCUUUCGCUUGUGACGCAGCGUGUCUGACGGUACUGGGUAAAGAAGCACCGGCUAACUACGUG